RNAcentral lists this transfer RNA (76 nucleotides) under bacterium. RNAcentral describes it as "tRNA-Thr". It matches the Rfam family "tRNA". Rfam says of the family: Transfer RNA (tRNA) molecules are approximately 80 nucleotides in length. Their secondary structure includes four short double-helical elements and three loops (D, anti-codon, and T loops). Further hydrogen bonds mediate the characteristic L-shaped molecular structure. tRNAs have two regions of fundamental functional importance: the anti-codon, which is responsible for specific mRNA codon recognition, and the 3' end, to which the tRNAs corresponding amino acid is attached (by aminoacyl-tRNA synthetases). tRNAs cope with the degeneracy of the genetic code in two manners: having more than one tRNA (with a specific anti-codon) for a particular amino acid; and 'wobble' base-pairing, i.e. permitting non-standard base-pairing at the 3rd anti-codon position. The record is from RNAcentral.
GCCGAAGUAGCUCAAUUGGUAGAGCAACUGACUUGUAAUCAGUAGGUUGCGGGUUCAAUUCCUGUCUUCGGCACCA